AGUGAGGAAUAUUGGUCAAUGGACGCAAGUCUGAACCAGCCAUGUCGCGUGCAGGAUGACUGCCCUAUGGGUUGUAAACUGCUUUUGUACGGGAAGAAAAAUACUUACGUGUAAGUAUUUGCCGGUACCGUACGAAUAAGCAUCGGCUAACUCCGUGCCAGCAGCCGCGGUAAUACGGAGGAUGCGAGCGUUAUCCGGAUUUAUUGGGUUUAAAGGGUGCGUAGGCGGAAUGGUAAGUCAGUGGUGAAAUCCUGCAGCUCAACUGUAGUUGUGCCAUUGAUACUGUCAUUCUUGAGUACAGAUGAGGUAGGCGGAAUGAGUAGUGUAGCGGUGAAAUGCAUAGAUAUUACUCAGAACACCAAUUGCGAAGGCAGCUUACUAAACUGACACUGACGCUGAAGCACGAAAGCGUGGGUAUCAAACAGGAUUAGAUACCCUGGUAGUCCACGCCGUAAACGAUGAUUACUGGUUGUUUGCGAUACACAGCAAGCGACUGAGCGAAAGCAUUAAGUAAUCCACCUGGGGAGUACGUCGGCAACGAUG
Molecule: ribosomal RNA, 543 nt
Filed under: uncultured bacterium
Lineage: Bacteria
Description: bacterial SSU rRNA
Rfam family: Bacterial small subunit ribosomal RNA
Source: RNAcentral